ACGCUAGCUACAGGCUUAACACAUGCAAGUCGAGGGUUAGCAUUUCAGUUUGCUUGCAAACUGGAGAUGGCGACCGGCGCACGGGUGAGUAACACGUAUCCAACCUGCCGAUAACUCGGGGAUAGCCUUUCGAAAGAAAGAUUAAUACCCGAUGGCAUAAUUAGACCGCAUGGUCUUAUUAUUAAAGAAUUUCGGUUAUCGAUGGGGAUGCGUUCCAUUAGGCAGUUGGUGAGGUAACGGCUCACCAAACCUUCGAUGGAUAGGGGUUCUGAGAGGAAGGUCCCCCACAUUGGAACUGAGACACGGUCCAAACUCCUACGGGAGGCAGCAGUGAGGAAUAUUGGUCAAUGGACGAGAGUCUGAACCAGCCAAGUAGCGUGAAGGAUGACUGCCCUAUGGGUUGUAAACUUCUUUUAUAUGGGAAUAAAGUUUUCCACGUGUGGAAUUUUGUAUGUACCAUAUGAAUAAGGAUCGGCUAACUCCGUGCCAGCAGCCGCGGCAAUACGGAGGAUCCGAGCGUUAUCCGGAUUUAUUGGGUUUAAAGGGAGCGUAGGUGGACAGUUAAGUCAGUGUGAAAAGUUUGCGGCUCAACCGUAAAAUUGCAGUUGAUACUGGCUGUCUUGAGUACAGUAGAGGUGGGCGGAAUUCGUGGUGUAGCGGUGAAAUGCUUAGAUAUCACGAAGAACUCCGAUUGCGAAGGCAGCUCACUGGACUACAACUGACACUGAUGCUCGAAAGUGUGGGUAUCAAACAGGAUUAGAUACCCUGGUAGUCCACACAGUAAACGAUGAAUACUCGCUGUUUGCGAUAUACAGUAAGCGGCCAAGCGAAAGCAUUAAGUAUUCCACCUGGGGAGUACGCCGGCAACGGUGAAACUCAAAGGAAUUGACGGGGGCCCGCACAAGCGGAGGAACAUGUGGUUUAAUUCGAUGAUACGCGAGGAACCUUACCCGGGCUUAAAUUGCAUUUGAAUAAUCUGGAAACAGGUUAGCCGCAAGGCAAAUGUGAAGGUGCUGCAUGGUUGUCGUCACCUCGUGCCGUGAGGUGUCGGCUUAAGUGCCAUAACGAGCGCAACCCUUAUCUUUAGUUACUAACAGGUCAUGCUGAGGACUCUAGAGAGACUGCCGUCGUAAGAUGUGAGGAAGGUGGGGAUGACGUCAAAUCAGCACGGCCCUUACGUCCGGGGCUACACACGUGUUACAAUGGGGGGUACAGAAGGCAGCUACCUGGUGACAGGAUGCUAAUCCCAAAAGCCUCUCUCAGUUCGGAUCGAAGUCUGCAACCCGACUUCGUGAAGCUGGAUUCGCUAGUAAUCGCGCAUCAGCCAUGGCGCGGUGAAUACGUUCCCGGGCCUUGUACACACCGCCCGUCAAGCCAUGAAAGCCGGGGGUACCUGAAGUACGUAACCGCAAGGAGCGUCCUAGGGUAAAACUGGUAA
This 1438-nucleotide ribosomal RNA is filed under the name uncultured organism. Its description in RNAcentral is "SSU rRNA". It matches the Rfam family "Bacterial small subunit ribosomal RNA". The record is from RNAcentral.